RNAcentral lists this non-coding RNA (100 nucleotides) under Chelatococcus sp. RNAcentral's name for it is "Glycine sequence". It matches the Rfam family "Glycine riboswitch aptamer". From Rfam's summary of the family: This family represents the bacterial glycine riboswitch. The record is from RNAcentral. Lineage: Bacteria; Pseudomonadati; Pseudomonadota; Alphaproteobacteria; Hyphomicrobiales; Chelatococcaceae.
AUGAUCCCCGCGGGAGAGUUCGCCGUGUGCCUGGCACGCGCGCGACGCCGAAGGCGCAACCGCCCCGGACACGCUCAGGCCCAAGGACCGCGCGGGAGCU